This 264-nucleotide signal recognition particle RNA is filed under the name Fidelibacterota bacterium. RNAcentral's name for it is "signal recognition particle sRNA large type". It matches the Rfam family "Bacterial large signal recognition particle RNA". From Rfam's summary of the family: The signal recognition particle (SRP) is a universally conserved ribonucleoprotein involved in the co-translational targeting of proteins to membranes. The record is from RNAcentral. Lineage: Bacteria; Pseudomonadati; Fidelibacterota.
CUGUGCUAGAUGGGGCGUUAGCGGUUCCCUGUAACCUGAAAUCCGCUUUAGCAGGAUUUAAUUCCGAGGGGCGGGUUUAGCUGUCUUUGUUUAAUUUAGUAAGCGGUGUUGAUGUAUUCAGCUUUGCGCAAUGUAUUUAUAUUAAAUCCCGUCAGGUCUGGAAGGAAGCAGCGGUAGGUAUUAUUUGCAUGUGCCGUAAAUUCCUGAUGCUGAGCUGGCUGCUAAUGAUGAUAGAUGAUAGAGGAUUCAACCUUCGGUGCACAG